UGCAGUCGAACGGUAACAGGCCGCUGGGAUCCCUUCGGGGUGACCUUGGCGCUGACGAGUGGCGGACGGGUGAGUAAUGCAUAGGAAUCUGCCCAGUAGUGGGGGAUAACGUGGAGAAAUCCACGCUAAUACCGCAUAUGUCCUACGGGACAAAGCAGGGGACCUUCGGGCCUUGCGCUAUUGGAUGAGCCUAUGUCGGAUUAGCUAGUUGGUAGGGUAAAAGCCUACCAAGGCAACGAUCCGUAGCUGGUCUGAGAGGAUGAUCAGCCACACUGGGACUGAGACACGGCCCAGACUCCUACGGGAGGCAGCAGUGGGGAAUAUUGCACAAUGGGCGCAAGCCUGAUGCAGCAAUGCCGCGUGUGUGAAGAAGGCCUGCGGGUUGUAAAGCACUCUUAUUAGGAAAGAAAAACCCGGAGCUAAUACCUCCGGCAUUGACGGUACCUAAAGAAUAAGCACCGGCUAACUAAGUGCCAGCAGCCGCGGUAAUACUUAGGGUGCAAGCGUUAAUCGGAAUUACUGGGCGUAAAGCGAGUGUAGGCGGCUGCGUAAGUCGGAUGUGAAAGCCCCGGGCUCAACCUGGGAAUUGCAUUCGAAACUGCGUAGCUAGAGUUUGGUAGAGGUAAGUGGAAUUCCGGGUGUAGCGGUG
This 649-nucleotide ribosomal RNA is filed under the name uncultured bacterium. RNAcentral describes it as "bacterial SSU rRNA". It matches the Rfam family "Bacterial small subunit ribosomal RNA", at positions 56 to 683 of the family's 1533-position model. The record is from RNAcentral.